ACAGUGGCACAAUGGAUUGGUGCAUCUGGCUGUUAAUCAGAAGGCCGGUGGUUCGAGCCCACUCAGGGAUG
Molecule: non-coding RNA, 71 nt
Organism: Podarcis lilfordi (Lilford's wall lizard)
Lineage: Eukaryota; Metazoa; Chordata; Lepidosauria; Squamata; Lacertidae
Source: the annotation of a GenBank genome assembly